AAACUCAAAGGAAUUGACGGGGGCCCGCACAAGCGGCGGAGCAUGUGGAUUAAUUCGAUGCAACGCGAAGAACCUUACCUGGGUUUGACAUGCACUGGACCGGCGUAGAGAUACGCCUUCCCUUGUGGCUGGUGCACAGGUGGUGCAUGGCUGUCGUCAGCUCGUGUCGUGAGAUGUUGGGUUAAGUCCCGCAACGAGCGCAACCCUUGUCCCAUGUUGCCAGCGGGUAAUGCCGGGGACUCGUGGGAGACUGCCGGGGUCAACUCGGAGGAAG
RNAcentral lists this ribosomal RNA (274 nucleotides) under uncultured bacterium. RNAcentral's name for it is "partial 16S ribosomal RNA". It matches the Rfam family "Bacterial small subunit ribosomal RNA", at positions 897 to 1172 of the family's 1533-position model. The record is from RNAcentral.